UCCCGUGUGGCUCAGUCGGUAAAGAAUCCGCCUUCAACGCAGGAGGCCCAGGUUUGAUACCUGGGAGGGGAA
RNAcentral lists this transfer RNA (72 nucleotides) under Bos taurus (domestic cattle). It matches the Rfam family "tRNA". Rfam says of the family: Transfer RNA (tRNA) molecules are approximately 80 nucleotides in length. Their secondary structure includes four short double-helical elements and three loops (D, anti-codon, and T loops). Lineage: Eukaryota; Metazoa; Chordata; Mammalia; Artiodactyla; Bovidae. The record is from Rfam by way of RNAcentral. RNAcentral also lists the same sequence under 4 other names.